Molecule: small nucleolar RNA, 120 nt
Organism: Peromyscus californicus insignis
Lineage: Eukaryota; Metazoa; Chordata; Mammalia; Rodentia; Cricetidae
Product: small nucleolar RNA SNORD22
Exons: 1
Source: RefSeq, a predicted model, not a curated record
UCUCAGUGAAGAGACGUUCACAUGUCUUACUUUCUACCCUCAAUCUAGUUCAACUGACAAGGUGAGCACAUUUGGGGAGGAGAAGAUGAACAUUCAUUCCAGAAGGAAUUGUUUUGGGAU